CACUGGAUGAGCUUUGAGGUCCCUUCCAACACAAACCAUUCUGUAAUUUUAUAAUUCUGUUACUGUAGCCUGGGAGGUUCAGACUGGACAUUAGGAAGAACUGCUUCCCUGGGAGGAUACUGCAGCACUGGAAGAGGUUACCCAGAGGGGGACACCAAACAUUAGGCCAGGUUUGGAAGUCAGUGUAGUCCCAAACAUAUUCCUCAAGACUAUCAGCCUCACGAAGUCUGCUCAAGAAGCUGGAGAUGUUCCAUAUCUGUCAGAGGAAUCACAGAAACUGUUUGUAAGAAGAAUCUCCAACAAAGAGCAUCUUGGCCUUAUGGAUAUGACAUACUUCUGUUUCCUAAAACCCACUACGUGUAUGAACUGGUACUGUAAACACAAGUGCAAGUAAAAGAGUUCUACUGUUGCUGGAUUCCUCAUCCUCAGUUUAGUCAGUCAGCAAAAUUACUUUCUCAGUACUGAGUUACAGUAAAGAAUUGUUAACUGUGGUGUAACUGAGAGCAAAGACAAAGUCAAGUCAACGGGGUUUGCUUCAGCUUGUGACACUUCAAAUAAAGCCUCUACAUUUGUUUGGACCAUAAAACUCUACGAUGUUACCUAGUUACCAGGAAAUCACAGCCUGGUAACCACUCGGAGAAUUCUGGGGUUUAUUUACAACAAGGUAAGUGACCCUGAAUAAGUCAGGCUGGGGACACUUAGGCUGUCCAACUGUACAACAGGAUGAGACUCACACAACAUUUAUUUGAAGUAUUAAGAUUAAAACUGCGGUAUGAAAUUAAUUACGAUUAGUCUUGACAACACUAAUUCUAUUUAAAAUCUAUUGAACUGGUUUAAAAUUAAACUUCAGGUUCCCUUCAGCUGCAACCCAGCCCCGAAGCUGUCAAAGCCUGUGUUGUCCAUCCCAUGCUGGAUUUUCUCAUUUGGUUGGGAGAUUGCUAUUAAUAGACCAUAAGUAGAUACAAAAAAAGAGGAAAAAGUGAGAUUACCCAAUUACUCGAUUCUGCAAACAACCAUGUUUGCUUGCUUCAGUUUUGAGAAAGAUUGUCUGAAAUUUAGUUUCCUGAUGGGGCUUAAACCUCCCCUUUUGUGGCUCUGGACCAUCCAUCUCUCCUGCCUCCCCCAGUGCCGGCUAAGCAGGGUUGCUAAGCGACAUGUUCUUCUCUUCUGUACUUUAGCAGAGAGGAACAGAUCAAAGACACCCACAGUCCUGAAUUAUUUUAUAAAUGAAUUUAAAGAGACACUCUCCUGUGCUGUAUUAUGUGGGGGGAGAUCAAAAGUUGCUGGGUAUAGUGAGAGUAUCUGGAGAAUUAAACUGAUGUCUUCUGGAAAAUAAGAAUGCUCUCACAAAUGACAACUGUGUAGUAUUUCCCUUUUUUCUUGGUUUUUUUUUUUGCUUUUUCAGAACUAGAUUACAAUUUUUUUAUGCUAAUUAAUGUUUCCAGUUUCA
Long non-coding RNA from Corvus hawaiiensis (hawaiian crow), 1450 nucleotides. RefSeq lists it as uncharacterized. The transcript has 3 exons. The record is from RefSeq and is a predicted model, not a curated record. Lineage: Eukaryota; Metazoa; Chordata; Aves; Passeriformes; Corvidae.